RNAcentral lists this ribosomal RNA (642 nucleotides) under Arthrobacter sp. RG-61. RNAcentral describes it as "bacterial SSU rRNA". It matches the Rfam family "Bacterial small subunit ribosomal RNA", at positions 83 to 737 of the family's 1533-position model. Lineage: Bacteria; Bacillati; Actinomycetota; Actinomycetes; Micrococcales; Micrococcaceae. The record is from RNAcentral.
GUGGGUGGAUUAGUGGCGAACGGGUGAGUAAACACGUGAGUAACCUGCCCUUAACUCUGGGAUAAGCCUGGGAAACUGGGUCUAAUACCGGAUAUGACUCCUCAUCGCAUGGUGGGGGGUGGAAAGCUUUUUGUGGUUUUGGAUGGACUCGCGGCCUAUCAGCUUGUUGGUGAGGUAAUGGCUCACCAAGGCGACGACGGGUAGCCGGCCUGAGAGGGUGACCGGCCACACUGGGACUGAGACACGGCCCAGACUCCUACGGGAGGCAGCAGUGGGGAAUAUUGCACAAUGGGCGAAAGCCUGAUGCAGCGACGCCGCGUGAGGGAUGACGGCCUUCGGGUUGUAAACCUCUUUCAGUAGGGAAGAAGCGAAAGUGACGGUACCUGCAGAAGAAGCGCCGGCUAACUACGUGCCAGCAGCCGCGGUAAUACGUAGGGCGCAAGCGUUAUCCGGAAUUAUUGGGCGUAAAGAGCUCGUAGGCGGUUUGUCGCGUCUGCUGUGAAAGACCGGGGCUCAACUCCGGUUCUGCAGUGGGUACGGGCAGACUAGAGUGAUGUAGGGGAGACUGGAAUUCCUGGUGUAGCGGUGAAAUGCGCAGAUAUCAGGAGGAACACCGAUGGCGAAGGCAGGUCUCUGGGCAUU